AUUGAACGCUGGCGGCAUGCUUUACACAUGCAAGUCGAACGGUGACAGGUUAAGCUGACGAGUGGCGAACGGGUGAGUAAUGCAUCGGAACGUGCCCGGUCGUGGGGGAUAACGCAGCGAAAGCUGCGCUAAUACCGCAUACGAUCUGAGGAUGAAAGCGGGGGACCGUAAGGCCUCGCGCGAUCGGAGCGGCCGAUGUCAGAUUAGGUAGUUGGUGGGGUAAAGGCUCACCAAGCCAACGAUCUGUAGCUGGUCUGAGAGGACGACCAGCCACACUGGGACUGAGACACGGCCCAGACUCCUACGGGAGGCAGCAGUGGGGAAUUUUGGACAAUGGGCGAAAGCCUGAUCCAGCAAUGCCGCGUGCAGGAAGAAGGCCUUCGGGUUGUAAACUGCUUUUGUACGGAGCGAAAAGGUCUCCUCCAAUACAGGGGGCUCAUGACGGUACCGUAAGAAUAAGCACCGGCUAACUACGUACCAGCAGCCGCCGUAA
This 493-nucleotide ribosomal RNA is filed under the name uncultured bacterium. RNAcentral's name for it is "partial 16S ribosomal RNA". It matches the Rfam family "Bacterial small subunit ribosomal RNA", at positions 29 to 523 of the family's 1533-position model. The record is from RNAcentral.